GACGAACGCUGGCGGCGUGCUUAACACAUGCAAGUCGAACGGAAAGGCCCUGCUUUUGUGGGGUGCUCGAGUGGCGAACGGGUGAGUAACACGUGAGUAACCUGCCCUUGACUUUGGGAUAACUUCAGGAAACUGGGGCUAAUACCGGAUAGGAGCUCCUGCUGCAUGGUGGGGGUUGGAAAGUUUCGGCGGUUGGGGAUGGACUCGCGGCUUAUCAGCUUGUUGGUGGGGUAGUGGCUUACCAAGGCUUUGACGGGUAGCCGGCCUGAGAGGGUGACCGGCCACAUUGGGACUGAGAUAAGGCCCAGACUCCUACGGGAGGCAGCAGUGGGGAAUAUUGCACAAUGGGCGGAAGCCUGAUGCAGCAACGCCGCGUGCGGGAUGACGGCCUUCGGGUGGUAAACCGCUUUCGCCUGUGACGAAGCGUGAGUGACGGUAAUGGGUAAAGAAGCACCGGCUAACUACGU
This 467-nucleotide ribosomal RNA is filed under the name uncultured bacterium. RNAcentral describes it as "partial 16S ribosomal RNA". It matches the Rfam family "Bacterial small subunit ribosomal RNA", at positions 28 to 506 of the family's 1533-position model. The record is from RNAcentral.